This 19-nucleotide ribosomal RNA is filed under the name Mucor hiemalis f. corticola. RNAcentral describes it as "partial 28S ribosomal RNA". The record is from RNAcentral. Lineage: Eukaryota; Fungi; Mucoromycota; Mucoromycetes; Mucorales; Mucoraceae.
CUGAAAUCAGGCGGGAUUA